AUUCCUAAAUGGAGGAUUCAGUAUGCCAAGGAUCAAAUACCAUGACUAAGGAGUUCAUUGAUAAGGUUGUUGUAGUACUCCAGUCCCUUUGGAUUGACAGCUCCUCGGCCAUCUUCAUGGAUUGCAAACAGAAGAAUAAGCCUAGGCCAGGCAAUGGAAAAUCUGUAUGCAUCGACGCCCAUCUCGCUCAAAAGCUUUACAUCUUCCUGGUGGUUUAUCACAAUUCAGGCUCACAGUGCGUGGGUGAAAUUAACCUGAGUGUGUGAACGUGUCCCAGAUGCUGGGUUUUCUUCCGUCCUCUGCAACUGCGCCUUCAAUCUGGAAAAUCAGCCGAAUGUUCAGGCCGUGUUCCCGCCAAACUUCACCUCAAAAUAGUGUGAGUCGUCGAUUCUGCAGAUCCAACGGACUAAGAAGGAGCGAAUCCAAAGAAAGGUGGCCGUCGAUAUGGGUACAUCUGACGGCUCAGACUGUUUUUGUUUCUGUCAGG
This is a non-coding RNA of Aegilops tauschii subsp. strangulata, 487 nucleotides long. The record is from RefSeq and is a predicted model, not a curated record. Lineage: Eukaryota; Viridiplantae; Streptophyta; Magnoliopsida; Poales; Poaceae.